GGCCCUGCCGGUGUCGCCAGACCCGCCAACCCUGUUGUGGUUCAGCGCCGGCGGUGGGGGAGGUUCGACGUCGUCCGCGGCGAAUCGGCUGGGGAUGAUGCCGGUGUCCUUGCCGACGAAACCCAGAUUCCUCCCCUGCGACUCGGCGGCGCCGCCGAGCGCCGCCGUCGCGCGGGCGGGGCCAUGAGCGUCGCCCAAGCUGGGGACGAGCCCAGCCAGCCGGCCGGCGGGAUUCAUGCUCAGAGCUGAGCCUCUCCAGCCGUCGCAGGGCGACGAACCGGCGGCGGACAUAGCUGCAGGAGGAACCGGGCUGCCAUGGAAGUACCCGCUCUGCAUGACAGCGGUCUUCAGGUCUCCCUCCGCCACCACCUGCCCGACGCCCACCGGCAAGGCAUUCGACUGGGGGAGAAGCAUGUGAUCCAUGGCGGGGCCGCCGUAGCCGGGAUGGGUCUGGUUGAUGGUCGCGGCCCCGCCUCCCGCCUGAAGCCCCUUCGACAUCUGGGAGCGGAGCAGCACUGCAGCAUUCUGACCGAUGGAGAAGGGGUUGUUCCCG
This 553-nucleotide long non-coding RNA is filed under the name Spirodela polyrhiza (greater duckweed). RNAcentral's name for it is "long non-coding RNA (SPOL_LNC001212)". The record is from RNAcentral. Lineage: Eukaryota; Viridiplantae; Streptophyta; Magnoliopsida; Alismatales; Araceae.